ACCCCAGUAGCUCAAUGGAUAGAGCAACGCUCUCCUAAAGCGUAGGUUGUGCGUUCGACUCGCACCUGGGGUA
RNAcentral lists this transfer RNA (73 nucleotides) under Anaerolineae bacterium. Its description in RNAcentral is "tRNA-Arg". It matches the Rfam family "tRNA". From Rfam's summary of the family: Transfer RNA (tRNA) molecules are approximately 80 nucleotides in length. Their secondary structure includes four short double-helical elements and three loops (D, anti-codon, and T loops). The record is from RNAcentral. Lineage: Bacteria; Bacillati; Chloroflexota; Anaerolineae.